RNAcentral lists this non-coding RNA (465 nucleotides) under Rattus norvegicus (Norway rat). RNAcentral's name for it is "Eukaryotic large subunit ribosomal RNA". It matches the Rfam family "Eukaryotic large subunit ribosomal RNA", at positions 24 to 492 of the family's 3401-position model. Lineage: Eukaryota; Metazoa; Chordata; Mammalia; Rodentia; Muridae. The record is from Rfam by way of RNAcentral.
CCCGCUGAAUUUAAGCAUAUUAGUCAGUGGAGGAGAAGAAACUAACCAGGAUUCCCUCAGUAAAGGCCAGUGAACAGGGAAGAGCCCAGCGCCGAAUCCCCGCCAGGUGCUGUGGCGCGGGAAAUGUGGCGUACAGAAGACCCACUCCCUGGCGCCGCUCGUGGGGGGCACAAGUCCUUCUGAUCGAGGCCCAGCCCUUGGACGGUGUGAGGCCAGUAGCGGGCCCAGUGCCGCCAGGCCCAGAUCUUCCUGGAGUCGGGUUGCUUGGGAAUGCAGCCCAAAGCAGAUGGUAAACUCCAUUUAAGGCUAAAUACCGGCACGAUAGCCAACAAGUACAGUAAGGAAAAGUUGAAAAGAACUUUGAAGAGAGUUCAAGAGGGUGUGAAACCGUUAAGAGGUAAACGGGUGUGGUCAGCACAGUCGGCCCAGAGGAUUCAACCCAGAGGCGCGCGUUCCGCUGUGCGG